Molecule: ribosomal RNA, 605 nt
Filed under: uncultured archaeon
Lineage: Archaea
Description: bacterial SSU rRNA
Rfam family: Archaeal small subunit ribosomal RNA
Source: RNAcentral
GCAGGCGCGAAAACUUUACAAUGCGGGAAACCGUGAUAAGGGGACACCGAGUGCCAGCAUCAUAUGCUGGCUGUCCAGAUGUGUAAAAUACAUCUGUUAGCAAGGGCCGGGCAAGACCGGUGCCAGCCGCCGCGGUAACACCGGCGGCCCGAGUGGUGAUCGUGAUUAUUGGGUCUAAAGGGUCCGUAGCCGGUUUGGUCAGUCCUCCGGGAAAUCUGAUGGCUCAACCAUUAGGCUUUCGGGGGAUACUGCCAGGCUUGGAACCGGGAGAGGUAAGAGGUACUACAGGGGUAGGAGUGAAAUCUUGUAAUCCCUGUGAGACCACCUGUGGCGAAGGCGUCUUACCAGAACGGGUUCGGCGGUGAGGGACGAAAGCUGGGGGCACGAACCGGAUUAGAUACCCGGGUAGUCCCAGCCGUAAACGAUGCUCGCUAGGUGUCAGGCAUGGCGCGACCGUGUCUGGUGCCGCAGGGAAGCCGUGAAGCGAGCCACCUGGGAAGUACGGCCGCAAGGCUGAAACUUAAAGGAAUUGGCGGGGGAGCACAACAACGGGUGGAGCCUGCGGUUUAAUUGGACUCAACGCCGGACAACUCACCGGGGACGAC